AGAGUUUGAUCCUGGCUCAGGACGAACGCUGGCGGCGUGCCUAAUACAUGCAAGUCGAGCGGACUGAUGGGAGCUUGCUCCCUGAAGUUAGCGGCGGACGGGUGAGUAACACGUGGGUAACCUGCCUGUAAGAUUGGGAUAACUCCGGGAAACCGGAGCUAAUACCGGAUAAUAUUUUGAACCGCAUGGUUCGAAAUUGAAAGAUGGUUUCGGCUAUCACUUACAGAUGGACCCGCGGCGCAUUAGCUAGUUGGUGAGGUAACGGCUCACCAAGGCAACGAUGCGUAGCCGACCUGAGAGGGUGAUCGGCCACACUGGGACUGAGACACGGCCCAGACUCCUACGGGAGGCAGCAGUAGGGAAUCUUCCGCAAUGGACGAAAGUCUGACGGAGCAACGCCGCGUGAACGAUGAAGGCCUUCGGGUCGUAAAGUUCUGUUGUUAGGGAAGAACAAGUACCAGAGUAACUGCUGGUACCUUGACGGUACCUAACCAGAAAGCCACGGCUAACUACGUGCCAGCAGCCGCGGUAAUACGUAGGUGGCAAGCGUUGUCCGGAAUUAUUGGGCGUAAAGCGCUCGCAGGCGGUUUCUUAAGUCUGAUGUGAAAGCCCACGGCUCAACCGUGGAGGGUCAUUGGAAACUGGGGAACUUGAGUGCAGAAGAGGAGAGUGGAAUUCCACGUGUAGCGGUGAAAUGCGUAGAGAUGUGGAGGAACACCAGUGGCGAAGGCGACUCUCUGGUCUGUAACU
Molecule: ribosomal RNA, 750 nt
Filed under: uncultured bacterium
Lineage: Bacteria
Description: bacterial SSU rRNA
Rfam family: Bacterial small subunit ribosomal RNA
Source: RNAcentral